UACGGAAGGUCCGGGCGUUAUCCGGAUUUAUUGGGUUUAAAGGGAGCGUAGGCGGCUUUGUAAGUCAGCGGUGAAAUUUUGCAGCUUAACUGUAACAGUGCCGUUGAUACUGUGAGGCUAGGAUUUGGUUGCUGUGGGUGGAAUGUGUGGUGUAGCGGUGAAAUGCUUAGAGAUCACACAGAAUAUCGAUUGCGAAGGCAGCUCACAAAGCCAAGAUUGACGCUGAGGCACGAAAGUGUGGGGAUCAAACAGG
RNAcentral lists this ribosomal RNA (253 nucleotides) under uncultured prokaryote. RNAcentral's name for it is "partial 16S ribosomal RNA". It matches the Rfam family "Bacterial small subunit ribosomal RNA", at positions 524 to 776 of the family's 1533-position model. The record is from RNAcentral.